AGAUUAAAGCAUAGAAGUGCUGGAGUCGAAGCGAAAGCGAGUCUUAAAAGGGCGAUUUAGUUAGAUGUGGUAGACCCGAAGCCGAGUGAUCUAUUUAUGGCCAGGCUGAAGCUUGGGUAAAACCAAGUGGAGGGCCGAACUCUAGUCUGUUUAAAAAGGCAGGGAUGAGCUGUGAAUAGGAGUGAAAGGCUAAACAAACUCGGAGAUAGCUGGUUCUCCCCGAAAUGGAUUUAAGUUCAGCCUUAUUUUAGUUUAAUAGAGGUAGAGCACUAAUUGAGCUAGGGCCUGUCAAAGGGUACCAAACUCAGUUAAACUCCGAAUGCUAUUAAAUGAUGAAUAGGAGUGAGACUAUGGGCGAUAAGGUUCAUAGUCGAGAGGGAAACAACCCAGACCAACAGCUAAGGUCUCAAAAAUGUGUUAAGUGGAAAAGGAGGUUUAGGUACGUAAACAGCCAGGAGGUUGGCUUAGAAGCAGCCAUACCUUUAAAGAGUGCGUAAUAGCUCACUGGUCGAGUACUUAAGCGCCGAUAAUGUAACGGGGCUAAACACAUUACCGAAGCUUUGGAUCUUAACGAAAGUUAAGAUGGUAGGGGAGCGUUCUGUAAGCCAGAGAAGUUAAACUGGAAAGUUUGAUGGAGGUAUCAGAAGUGAGAAUGCAGGUAUGAGUAACGAAAAAAUGGGUGAGAUUCCCAUUCGCCGAAAACCUAAGGUUUCCUGGGUAAAGGUCGUCUUCCCAGGGUUAGUCGGCCCCUAAGGCAAAGCUGAAAAGUGUAGUCGAUGGGAAACGGGUUAAUAUUCCCGUACCUCUUAUAGUUUCGAUGGAGUGACGCAUGAGGUUAACUACUGCUAGGCGAUGGUUGUCCUAGUUUAAGCAUUAAGGCGAUGAUCUUAAUAGGAAAAUCCGUUAAGAGAGCUAAGAUGUGAUGAUGAGUGCUAUUUAGGUAGCAUGAAAUGUAGGUAGUCAAGGUGCCAAGAAAUAGCUUCUAAGGUUAGGCUAUAAGGGACCGUACCGCAAACCGACACAGGUAGGUGGGAUGAAAAUUCUAAGGCGCGCGAGAGAAUCCACGUUAAGGAACUCUGCAAAAUACGUACGUAACUUCGGGAUAAGUACGACCUAAGCAAUUAGGUAGCAUAAAAAUGGUCCAAACGACUGUUUACCAAAAACACAGGUCUCUGCAAAUCUGUAAAGAGAAGUAUAGGGACUGACACCUGCCCGGUGCUGGAAGGUUAAGAGGAGAUGUUAGUUUAUACGAAGCAUUGAAUUUAAGCCCCAGUAAACGGCGGCCGUAACUAUAACGGUCCUAAGGUAGCGAAAUUCCUUGUCGGGUAAGUUCCGACCCGCACGAAUGGUGUAACGAUUUGGACGCUGUCUCAACGUGGAGCUCGGUGAAAUUGAAGUAUCGGUGAAGAUGCCGAUUACUUGUGGUUAGACGGAAAGACCCCGUGAACCUUUACUAUAGCUUGGUAUUGAGAUUUGAUUAAAUAUGUGUAGGAUAGGUGGGAGACUUUGAAGCUAUCUCGUUAGGGGUAGUGGAGUCAAUCUUGAAAUACCACCCUUGUUUAAUUAGGUUUCUAACUUAUAGAAAUAUGAGGAGAGUGCCAGGUGGGUAGUUUGACUGGGGCGGUCGCCUCCUAAAGAGUAACGGAGGUGCGCAAAGGUUACCUUAGAGUGGUUGGAAAUCACUCUGUAAGUGUAAAGGCAUAAGGUAGCUUAACUGUAAGACUGACAAGUCGAACAGAUACGAAAGUAGGUCUUAGUGAUCUGGCGGUGGCAAGUGGAAGCGCCGUCACUUAACGAAUAAAAGGUACUCCGGGGAUAACAGGCUUAUCCUUCCCAAGAGUUCACAUCGACGGAAGGGUUUGGCACCUCGAUGUCGGCUCAUCGCAUCCUAGGGCUGGAGCAGGUCCUAAGGGUAUGGCUGUUCGCCAUUUAAAGCGGUACGCGAGCUGGGUUCAGAACGUCGUGAGACAGUUUGGUCCCUAUCUGCCACAAGCGUUGGAUAUUUGAGAGGAGCUAUCUUUAGUACGAGAGGACCGAGAUGGACGAACCUCUAGUGUGCCAGUUAUCCUGCCAAGGGUAAGUGCUGGGUAGCUACGUUCGGAAAGGAUAACCGCUGAAAGCAUCUAAGUGGGAAGCCUUCCUCAAGAUGAGAUAUCCUUUAAGGGUCCUGGAAGAAUACCAGGUCGAUAGGUUAGAAGUGUAAGUAUAGUAAUAUAUUAAGCUGACUAAUACUAAUUACCCGUAUCUUUGGCCAU
This 2255-nucleotide ribosomal RNA is filed under the name Borreliella burgdorferi CA-11.2A. RNAcentral's name for it is "bacterial LSU rRNA". It matches the Rfam family "Bacterial large subunit ribosomal RNA", at positions 643 to 2925 of the family's 2925-position model. Lineage: Bacteria; Pseudomonadati; Spirochaetota; Spirochaetia; Spirochaetales; Borreliaceae. The record is from RNAcentral.